Long non-coding RNA from Mastomys coucha (southern multimammate mouse), 911 nucleotides. RefSeq lists it as uncharacterized. The record is from RefSeq and is a predicted model, not a curated record. The transcript is spliced from 4 exons. Lineage: Eukaryota; Metazoa; Chordata; Mammalia; Rodentia; Muridae.
UACCUCCUUCCAGGCUCUAGCUCCGCCCCAGCCAUAACUCCUCCCGCUUCCGUCUAUCUGCUUGGAUUACUGGAUAUUACGUCUGCAACCUCGAGGUCGCUGUUGUGUUGGGCAAGCAUUGAUCCUUCGAGGCGGAGUGUUGUGUCUGCUAUAUAAGGGGAGCAUUUAAACAUGCAGGCGUGAGUAUCUACUUCCCCUUUGGAUUCUGUUAAGAUUUGCAUCUGAUAUCUGAAGCUCUAUUGUUGAUCACAGAUAUCAGUUGUUUCUUACUACUUGAAGUAUAUCUCUAUUGCAAACAGAAAAUCCUGCUUUCCUUGCAAAACCUCUCCCAUAAUGUCAGCUGAGAAGUUAACCAGGGUUCCAUGAGAACAAGAUCAAUUUCUUUCAAGAGCUCUGUCUUCGAUGACUAACAGUAAUGUGCACCAUAUCCCACCUUUUAAAGUCAGACGCCGGAAGUCAUUGCUGCCACCCUGCAGACCUAGCUCCAUGAGAACCUUCACAAGGCUCUGAAACUAUAAUAGCAUGUGCUCCAAGUUGGUAAUUUAUGAAUAGACUCUUAAACAGUAAAACAGAAAAGUACAAUUUUGCCAUAAAAAUGACUAAAUAUUAUAGUAUACCUACUUCUGACCCAUAGGUAGUUGACCGCUGUCCUCACCUUCAAUGUAAAAGAUCAGUGUGUCCUGGGAACUAGGGGUAUGAGAUCAAGAGCAGUAAAUCUUCAAGACAUAUGAGCACAACUGACUCCAUAGGGUCUCUAAAUUUGUUCCUUCUAUAAAAAGUUGAACAGAACUGCUGGGGUGAGGAGUGAGAAUGUAUUUGGAGUAAGUCUUUUAGCAGACAACAGCUAAUAAAUACCCAAUAUUUUUUUCUUCCUUCUACACAGGAUUGAAUACAGAAAUAUAAAUUGUCAA